Molecule: unclassified non-coding RNA, 260 nt
Filed under: uncultured fungus
Lineage: Eukaryota; Fungi
Description: partial contains small subunit ribosomal RNA, internal transcribed spacer 1, and 5.8S ribosomal RNA
Rfam family: Eukaryotic small subunit ribosomal RNA (bases 1-73)
Source: RNAcentral
UCAAACUUGGUCAUUUAGAGGAAGUAAAAGUCGUAACAAGGUUUCCGUAGGUGAACCUGCGGAAGGAUCAUUAUUGAUUACCUAAAAUUCUUACACUUGUGAACUUAUAAUUGCAUGCUUUGGUCGCGCAAAUUCUUGUUUGUGUGGCCAGACUCUUUAUUAAAACCUAUUUAUUAUUAAUUUUGUAUGAAAAUUCUUUAAUGAAAAUUAAAACUUUCAACAACGGAUCUCUUGGUUCUCGCAUCGAUGAAGAACGCAGC